Molecule: ribosomal RNA, 301 nt
Filed under: uncultured bacterium
Lineage: Bacteria
Description: partial 16S ribosomal RNA
Rfam family: Bacterial small subunit ribosomal RNA
Source: RNAcentral
CAGCCGCCGCGGUAAUACGAAGGGGGCUAGCGUUGUUCGGAAUUACUGGGCGUAAAGGGCGCGUAGGCGGCCAUUCAAGUUAGAUGUGAAAGCCCUGGGCUCAACCUAGGAAUUGCAUUUGAUACUGUUUGGCUUGAGUUCGGGAGAGGUGAGUGGAAUUCCCAGUGUAGAGGUGAAGUUCGUAGAUAUUGGGAAGAACACCAGUGGCGAAGGCGGCUCACUGGACCGACACUGACGCUGAGGCGCGAAAGCGUGGGGAGCAAACAGGAUUAGAUACCCGCGUAGUCCCUGUCUCUUAUAC